UACGUAGGGUCCGAGCGUUGUCCGGAGUUACUGGGCGUAAAGCGCGCGCAGGUGGUCCACUAAGCCCGGCGUGAAAGCCCCCGGCUCAACCGGGGAGGGUCGUCGGGGACUGGUGGACUUGAGGGUGGCAGGGGCUGGUGGAAUUCCCGGUGUAGUGGUGAAAUGCGUAGAGAUCGGGAGGAACACCCGUGGCGAAGGCGGCCAGCUGGGCCAACCCUGACACUGAGGCGCGAAGGCGUGGGGAGCGAACGGG
Molecule: ribosomal RNA, 253 nt
Filed under: uncultured bacterium
Lineage: Bacteria
Description: partial 16S ribosomal RNA
Rfam family: Bacterial small subunit ribosomal RNA
Source: RNAcentral